UAAAUAAAAUCCACGUCAACAUAUUAUAUAAGAUGGUAAACGUCUAAAUAGUAUGGUAUAUGUUAAAACAUGUUAAGAUAUUUUUGGAUGUACUCUCGUCAAAGGAUAACACAUACACUUUUCACUUAAUUACCACAACCGCUAAAUAAUAUAUCCAAAUCCCUACUUAAGUAAAUUUAAACCCUAGCCAAGAAACUAUAAACCCAAUAAAAUCAAUAAAAAAAAUUUAUAUUAAAUUCAUGAAUGCACAUUUAUUUGAUUUGAAAAGUUCCAUAUGGUAUAUUCCAUACGGUCUAAUAACUAUGAUAAACCAAUCUUACCGGAGAAACCUACAUAUUAAAGCUGCUCACACCUGCAAUUUACUAUACUCAAACCCCUAAAAAUUAAUCGAUUUAUAACAAUGAUACCACAAAAAAUAUAAACCCUCUUAUAUCUUCGUAGCAAAUCAUAUGUUGUUACUCGUAAACAAUAAAUCCAAAUAAAAUGGAACAAAAUAAAUAACAUAAUACAUAUUGUUGAAAUUAUUAAAUGUUUAUGAUUGCAUGGAAGAAGAUGAUGCUGACCUAAGCCAUACUCUCUCACCUUCUAAAUACUAAACCCUAAACUCUAAUCAGUAAACCCUAAACCCAAAUAUAAACCAUAAACCCAAAUAGAAUUGAACAAAAUAAAUAACAUAGUACAUACUGAUGAAAUUAUGAAAUUUCUAACCAUACCCUCUCACCUUCUAAAUAUUAAACCCUAAAUUUGAAUCACUAAACCCUAACCCAAAUAGAAACUCUAAA
RNAcentral lists this long non-coding RNA (782 nucleotides) under Brassica napus (rape). RNAcentral describes it as "long non-coding RNA (BNAP_LNC016111)". Lineage: Eukaryota; Viridiplantae; Streptophyta; Magnoliopsida; Brassicales; Brassicaceae. The record is from RNAcentral.